GAUGAAGAACGUAGCGAAAUGCGAUACGUAAUGUGAAUUGCAGAAUUCAGUGACUCCUCGAGUCUUUGAACGCACAUUGCGCCCCCUGGUAUUCCGGGGGGCAUGCCUGUCCGAGCGUCAUUGCUGCCCUCAAGCACGGCUUGUGUGUUGGGCCUCCGUCCUCCUCCCGGGGGACGGGCCCGAAAGGCAGCGGCGGCACCGCGUCCGGUCCUCGAGCGUAUGGGGCUUCGUCACCCGCUCUUGUAGGCCCGGCCGGCGCUUGCCGACACAUCAAUCUUUUUUCCAGGUUGACCUCGGAUCAGGUAGGGAUACCCGCUGAACUUAAGCAUAUCAAUAAGCGGAGGA
Molecule: unclassified non-coding RNA, 345 nt
Filed under: soil metagenome
Description: partial contains 5.8S ribosomal RNA, internal transcribed spacer 2, and large subunit ribosomal RNA
Rfam family: 5.8S ribosomal RNA (bases 1-120)
Source: RNAcentral